ACAGGCUGUAGCGUGACGAAGGGUCCCAGACUGCAGAAAUGCUGAGACAAGUCCAAGUUGUAGACUGCCACAGGACCCCAGCUCAACAUGUGAGUGCACCCAGGCCUGCUGCUUCUCCUGGUUUCAGGUGAUGUCUGUCUGUUGUACCCAGGGUGAACCUCGACCUUCAUUAGCCCUUCAUCUCUGCUGACCCAGCCUCCCAACAGGCUGCUUAAUGGAUGCCCAGAGAUGGAAGGUGCUGAGGGCUGAAGACACCAGCUGGACACCUGAUGCCAUUUCCCUGCCCUUUUCUUCAAAGCUUUUAGGCAGAUGACCAAGGCAGGAGAGAGGCUGCUCAAAUCAAACCUGCACCCUCUUGAGCUGCUCCUAUAACAGACCUGAUGAUGGGAAAGCAGAACUGCAUGGCAAGGCAGGAAGAGGCUUCAGAAAGUGAGGCUGGCGGCUCCGGGCCAGGUGAGUCUGUC
Molecule: long non-coding RNA, 464 nt
Filed under: Apteryx owenii (little spotted kiwi)
Lineage: Eukaryota; Metazoa; Chordata; Aves; Apterygiformes; Apterygidae
Description: lncRNA (ENSAOWG00000017881.1)
Source: RNAcentral